AUUGAACGCUGGCGGCAGGCCUAACACAUGCAAGUCGAGCGGAUGAAGGGAGCUUGCUCCUGGAUUCAGCGGCGGACGGGUGAGUAAUGCCUAGGAAUCUGCCUGGUAGUGGGGGAUAACGUCCGGACACGGGCGCUAAUACCGCAUACGUCCUGAGGGAGAACGUGGGGGAUCUUCGGACCUCACGCUAUCAGAUGAGCCUAGGUCGGAUUAGCUAGUUGGUAGGGUAAAGGCCUACCAAGGCGACGAUCCGUAACUGGUCUGCGAGGGUGAUCAGUCACACUGGAAAUGGGACACGGGCCAGACCCCUAAGGGAGGCAGCAGGAGGGAAAUUUCGGAAAUGGGCGAAAGCUUGACGCAGCAAAGCCGCGGGGGUGAAGAAGGUCUUCGGAUUGUAAAACUCUUUUAUGUGGGAAGAAAGGAUGUGAAAGUAACUCUUCACGUUUUGACGGUACCUAAUAAGAAAGCCACGGCUAACUUCGUG
Molecule: ribosomal RNA, 484 nt
Filed under: uncultured bacterium
Lineage: Bacteria
Description: partial 16S ribosomal RNA
Rfam family: Bacterial small subunit ribosomal RNA
Source: RNAcentral